This 97-nucleotide microRNA precursor is filed under the name Glycine max (soybean). RNAcentral's name for it is "pre miRNA MIR158". Lineage: Eukaryota; Viridiplantae; Streptophyta; Magnoliopsida; Fabales; Fabaceae. The record is from RNAcentral.
UAACGUCACAACUGUCUUAGAAAGUUUGCUUUCGAAGACGGUGCUGACAUCAUCACCGUCUUCGAAAGCAAGUUUUCUAAGACGGUCAUGGUGUUAC